This 485-nucleotide non-coding RNA is filed under the name Trichobilharzia regenti. Its description in RNAcentral is "Eukaryotic large subunit ribosomal RNA". It matches the Rfam family "Eukaryotic large subunit ribosomal RNA", at positions 1894 to 2325 of the family's 3401-position model. The record is from Rfam by way of RNAcentral. Lineage: Eukaryota; Metazoa; Platyhelminthes; Trematoda; Strigeidida; Schistosomatidae.
AACAGUGUAAGUAAGGGAAGUCGGCAGAUUGGAUCCGCAACUUUGGGGGAAGGAUUGGCUCUGGGUGCCGAGUCAGACAAGCCGAGAUCAGAUAUGUGUCGUUCCAGUUGGAGGCUGGUUUCUUUGCUGCUUUGUGUGCUUUGAUGCGCAUUGUUUUGGAGUUACUGGACUCUGACUGUGAUCGAUGGUUUCAGCUGUUAGUGCUGUAUGGCAAACGACGUGCGUGAACUUGCUCUGCGUUGCGUCAAGUGGCUAUGCUCCCAUUGUUUGGUGCGUGACGGCUAACUUAGAACUGGCACGGACCAGGGAAAUCCAACUGUCUAAUUAAAAAUAAUCAUUGCGAGUAACUAUGACACACUAAUUAGAACCCAGGUCGGUGACGUUGAUUGACCUGCAAAGCAGGAAAAAUCAUAAAACUUAAGGUUAAUGAGGGUUAAAAUGGCCAAUAAAUAGUUUAUAACAUUCUUUGUUUAUCUAUCUUCAUU